Molecule: long non-coding RNA, 466 nt
Filed under: Elaeis guineensis (African oil palm)
Lineage: Eukaryota; Viridiplantae; Streptophyta; Magnoliopsida; Arecales; Arecaceae
Description: long non-coding RNA (EGUI_LNC060401)
Source: RNAcentral
GCCAUGAAGAAGCUCAGCUGAAGUCUACCUGUAAUAGAAGUUUGGAAGAAAUGUGUUUACAGUAGAGGCUCGAAUGGAAUUUGCUUAUAGUAGAUAUUCGGGGUAGACCGCCCACUGUAGGAGUCCGGAGUAGACCGCUCGUAGUAGAAGUUCGGAGUAGAUUGCUCGUAGUAGAAGUUCGGCUCUCGCAGGAGCUCAGUUGGAAUCUUGAAGGUGGUUGACCGCCAUAGAAACUUGGAUGGAGUCUGAUUACUAUAGAAAUCUCAUUGUCGGAGAAGCUCGGAUAUUGACGAAGUCCGGAAGAAGUUCGGAGAAUAGUUGAUCACUGUAGAAGGUCGGCUGAUAGUGAGGCCCAGAGAACCUUUGGGGUGGCCCGGUAGAUGGAUGGAGAAGCUCAUCGUCGGAGAAGUCUGGACGGUAUUAUGGAAGCUCGGAUGGUCGAGGGGGUUCAGAGAGAUGCCACACA